AUGGUAGGAUAGAGGCCUACCAUGGUGGUAACGGGUAACGGGGUGUUAGGGCACGACACCGGAGAGGGAGCCUGAGAAACGGCUACCACAUCCAAGGAAGGCAGCAGGCGCGCAAAUUACCCAAUUCCGACACGGGGAGGUAGUGACAAUAAAUAACAAUACAGGGUUCUUUGAAUCUUGUAAUUGGAAUGAGUACAAUUUAAAUCUCUUAACGAGGAACAAUUGGAGGGCAAGUCUGGUGCCAGCAGCCGCGGUAAUUCCAGCUCCAAUAGCGUAUAUUAAAGUUGUUGCAGUUAAAAAGCUCGUAGUUGAAUUUCGGGAUCAAUACGUCGGUCGUGCUUUCGGGUACGUACUGGCGUCAUUGGUUUCUCCUUUCUGACGAACCAUGAUGUCAUUAAUUUGGUGUUAUGGGGAGUUAGGACUGUUACUUUGAAAAAAUUAGAGUGUUUAAAGCAGGCAUUAGCUUGAAUACAUUAGCAUGGAAUAAUGAAAUAGGACGUUCGAUCCUAUUUUGUUGGUUUCUAGGAUCAACGUAAUGAUUAAUAGGGAUAGUUGGGGGCAUUAGUAUUCAAUUGUCAGAGGUGAAAUUCUUGGAUUUAUUGAAGACUAACUACUGCGAAAGCAUUUGCCAAGGAUGUUUUCAUUAAUCAAGAACGAAAGUUAGGGGAUCGAAGACGAUCAGAUACCGUCGUAGUCUUAACCAUAAACUAUGCCGACUAGGGAUCGGAUGAUGUUAAUUUUUUAAUGACUCAUUCGGCGCCUUACGGGAAACCAAAGUGUUUGGG
Molecule: ribosomal RNA, 785 nt
Filed under: uncultured Glomus
Lineage: Eukaryota; Fungi; Glomeromycota; Glomeromycetes; Glomerales; Glomeraceae
Description: SSU rRNA
Rfam family: Eukaryotic small subunit ribosomal RNA
Source: RNAcentral